AGAGUUUGAUCCUGGCUCAGGAUAAACGCUGGCGGCGUGCAUAACACAUUCAAGUCGAACGGUGCGAGGUGAAGCUUUGCUUCACCGAAGCAUAGUGCGGACGGGUGAGUAACGCGUGAGCAACCUGCCUGUGUGAGGGGAAUAACGUCCGGAAACAGACGCUAAUACCGCAUGAAGCACGGACACCGCAUGGUGACCGUGCCAAAGAUUUUAUCGCACACAGAUGGGCUCGCGUCCG
Molecule: ribosomal RNA, 238 nt
Filed under: uncultured bacterium
Lineage: Bacteria
Description: partial 16S ribosomal RNA
Rfam family: Bacterial small subunit ribosomal RNA
Source: RNAcentral